RNAcentral lists this ribosomal RNA (322 nucleotides) under uncultured eukaryote. Its description in RNAcentral is "partial 18S ribosomal RNA". It matches the Rfam family "Eukaryotic small subunit ribosomal RNA", at positions 1470 to 1796 of the family's 1831-position model. The record is from RNAcentral.
CCCUUAGAUGUUCUGGGCCGCACGCGUACUACACUGAGUAAAUCAAUGGGUAAGGGAACACGAAAGUGCAACCUAAUCUUCAAAUUUGCUCGUGAUGGGGAUCGACGGUUGCAAUUUUCCGUCGUGAACGAGGAAUACCUUGUAGGCGCGUGUCAUCAUCACGCGCCGAAUACGUCCCUGCCCUUUGUACACACCGCCCGUCGCUCCUACCGAUUGAGUGAUCCGGUGAGGCUCUGGGACCUGGACGGAAAGAGCGUUUCGCUUGUUCUGUUUGGGAAACUUGGUCGAACCUUAUCAUUUAGAGGAAGGAGAAGUCGUAACA